CGCCCGUCGCUCCUACCGAUUGGGUGUGCUGGUGAAGAGUUCGGAUUGGCGGCUCCGGACGGUCUCCGUCUGGUGCUGCUGAGAAGUUCUUUAAACCCUCCCACCUAGAGGAAGGAGAAGUCGUAACAAGGUUUCC
RNAcentral lists this ribosomal RNA (136 nucleotides) under uncultured Trebouxiophyceae. Its description in RNAcentral is "partial small subunit ribosomal RNA". It matches the Rfam family "Eukaryotic small subunit ribosomal RNA", at positions 1670 to 1804 of the family's 1831-position model. Lineage: Eukaryota; Viridiplantae; Chlorophyta; Trebouxiophyceae. The record is from RNAcentral.